AUGUCGAAGAAAUCCCGCAGCCGAGGCGGGGGAGGCGCCGGCGCCGCCGCCGGCGACGACCAUGAGGACCUCGCGCGCCCGCCUCCCCUGCAGGCCGUCCUUCUCGCCGACAGCUUCACGCUCAAAUUCCGCCCCAUCACCCUCGAGCGCCCCAAGGUGUUGCUGCCACUGGUGCACAUGCCGAUGAUCGAGUACACGCUCACAUGGCUGGAGUCCGCGGGGGUGGACGAGGCCUUCGUCUUCUGCUGCGCGCACUCCCACCAGGUAAAGGAAUACCUGGAGAAGUCCGGGUGGGCUGAGAAGGCUGGGGCCGGGAGCAUGGCCGUCACGGCCGUCGAGUCGCACGACGCCAUUAGCGCGGGCGACGCGCUCCGCGUCAUCUACGAACGCGGCGUGAUACAUGGAGAUUUCAUUCUCAUCAGUGGUGAUACAAUCAGCAAUAUGAGCUUGAAGGAUGCUCUCCAGGAACAUAUGGACAGGAAGAAAAAGGACCCACUUGCUGUUAUGACUAUGAUUAUAAAGCAUUCGAAACCUUCUAUCCUGACACACCAAACACGUCUGGGUAAUGAUGAAAUUGUCAUGGCGAUAGAUCCUGAGACAAAGGAAUUACUUUAUUACGAGGACAGGGCAGAUAACUCUCACUUGUAUGUUACAAUUGAUAAGGAUAUACUGACCAAUAAUCCUUCUCUCCAGCUGCAUAAUGACAUGGAGGACUGCUAUAUUGAUAUCUGCUCUCCAGAAGUACUAAGUCUUUUCACUGAUAACUUUGAUUAUCAACAUCUUCGGCGCCAUUUCGUGAAGGGGUUACUAGUUGAUGAUAUUAUGGGGUACAAAAUUUAUACUCAUGAAUUACGCUCCGGAUAUGCUGCAAGGAUUGAUAAUUUCAGGAGCUAUGAUACAGUGAGCAAAGAUGUAAUUCAAAGGUGGACAUACCCUAUGGUGCCCGAUGUAAUAUCCAGUGGUGAUUGCUCAGAAAGUAGACUUCAUAGGCAGGGAAUAUACAAGGCAUCAGAUGUAACAUUGUCACAUUCUGCACAAAUUGGUGCAAAUUCUGUUGUUGGCAGUGGGACAAGGAUUGGAGACCACUGCAAAGUAUUAAAUUCAGUUAUUGGGGAGGGCUGCAAGAUUGGGAAAAAUGUUUUGAUUAACGGCUCAUAUAUAUGGGAUAAUGUCAUAAUUGAAGAUGGAUGCAAAGUUAGUAACUCCUUAGUCUGUGGCGGUGUCCAUUUAAAAGCAGGUGCUAUUGUUGAACCUGGUUGCGUACUGUCAUUUAAUGUUGAAGUUGGAAAGAAUGUUGGUGUUCCUGCCCACUCAAAAGUUUCAUUACUUCCUCAGCCUUCAAAUGAAGAUAGUGAUGAAGAACUUGAGUAUGCUGACACCAACUCUGGAGUUACAGAGAGUCCACCCUUUUCCAGCAUGAGGAGUAAUGGCGACCAAGCAACUGUUCCUUCUGAAGAUGAGUCUGGAACAUUUGAGAUUGGGACCUGUGGUGUUGUUGGUUACAUAUGGACAAGCGGUGAUACUGGGAUUCUGGAAGAAUGGAGACAAUCAAUUGCCCCAAUACCUAAAGAAAAACUUGAAGAGUUGCAGCAUGCUGUGUCUGAAGAUGAUGGGUCAGAAGAUGAAUCCAACAAUCCGACUCAACCAGAUAAAGAUGAUUCUUCAGACAUUGCGGUUGAGGAUGAUGAUCCUUUUUCUAAGUUUGAGAAAGAGGUGGAAGAGACAUUCCAACGAGCUCUGGGUGGUGGUGUUAAUCGAGAUAAUUUGAUACUAGAGAUUAAUGGACUCAGGUUGGCUUAUAGCCUUCAACAUGCAGAUUGUGCUGGAGCUGUGUUCUAUUCUGUCAUGAAGAGUGCAUUAGUGGCUGCACAAUCUACUAAUGAUACUCUUCUAAAGACAACAGCCGAAGCACUUGGCAAGUGGAAGGAUCUUUUGCGCAAUUAUACUAAAACAGUUGAUGAAGAGAUGGAGAUACUAUUAAAGUUUGAGGAAAUGUGUCAAGAGACCACAAAAGAAUUUUCUCCACUGUUUUCAAAGAUCUUGCCAUUUCUCUAUGACACGGAGGUGGUAAGUGAAGAUGCAAUUAUGAGAUGGGCGGAAGAGAAAGAACAUGCUGAUGAAUCUGAUAAAGUCUUUGUUAAACAGUCAGAGGCUUUUAUACAGUGGCUCAAGGAAGCUGAAGAGGAGGAUGAUGAAGAAGAGGAAUAACCCUGGAUAUACUACACAUGGUGAAUGCAGAAUCCAAUUUGAGUGGUCACCCGCCGAACGAGGGGCAGCAAAAUCAAAGUCCCAUAGAAAAGAGUAAAAAAAUCAGAGCGGCCUUGGGGCCAAAAGAGGAAAAGCCGGCAACGAAUGACAGGGGUUGCACUGCUGGACUAAGCAAUCUCUCCGUGCCUUCGCCCAUGCUCGUUCGUCAGCAUGUGCCUGAUUUAAUCUACUAGUUCUUUCAUACGGAUUCCUUUUCUCCAUUGUGUGUAUGUUGUGAGUAGGUCAUCAUAGUAUCCAUUGUUUAAUGUCUCAGAUGAUUUUACUUUGACCGUGAGAAAAGUUGGGAUGAUAUGGAAGCCGUCUUUGUUAGGU
This is an RNA transcript of Panicum hallii, 2580 nucleotides long. It is a transcript of the gene named translation initiation factor eIF-2B subunit epsilon, with no coding region annotated. The transcript is spliced from 16 exons. Lineage: Eukaryota; Viridiplantae; Streptophyta; Magnoliopsida; Poales; Poaceae. The record is from RefSeq and is a predicted model, not a curated record.